This 72-nucleotide transfer RNA is filed under the name Puccinia sorghi. It matches the Rfam family "tRNA". From Rfam's summary of the family: Transfer RNA (tRNA) molecules are approximately 80 nucleotides in length. Their secondary structure includes four short double-helical elements and three loops (D, anti-codon, and T loops). Lineage: Eukaryota; Fungi; Basidiomycota; Pucciniomycetes; Pucciniales; Pucciniaceae. The record is from Rfam by way of RNAcentral.
GCGUACUUAGCUCAAUGGUUAGAGCAUCACUCAUCAAUGCUGAGGUUGUGGGUUUGAGUCCCAAAGUACACA